CCUACGGGGGGCAGCAGUAGGGAAUAUUGCUCAAUGGGGGAAACCCUGAAGCAGCAACGCCGCGUGGAGGAUGAAGGUUUUCGGAUUGUAAACUCGUUUUGUUAGGGAAGAUAAUGACGGUAUCUAACGAAUAAGCACCGGCUAACUCCGUGCCAGCAGCCGCGGUAAUACGGAGGAUGCAAGCGUUACUCGGAAUCACUGGGCGUAAAGAGCGCGUAGGCGGGAUAGCAAGUCAGAUGUGAAAUCCUAGGGCUUAACCACAGAACUGCAUUUGAAACUGUUAUUCUAGAGUAUGGGAGAGGUAGGUGGAAUUCUUGGUGUAGGGGUAAAAUCCGUAGAGAUCAAGAGGAAUACUCAUUGCGAAGGCGACCUGCUAGAACAUAACUGACGCUGAUGCGCGAAAGCGUGGGGAGCAAACAGGAUUAGAUACCCUAGUAGUC
RNAcentral lists this ribosomal RNA (440 nucleotides) under uncultured bacterium. RNAcentral describes it as "partial 16S ribosomal RNA". It matches the Rfam family "Bacterial small subunit ribosomal RNA", at positions 338 to 795 of the family's 1533-position model. The record is from RNAcentral.